RNAcentral lists this unclassified non-coding RNA (322 nucleotides) under uncultured fungus. Its description in RNAcentral is "partial contains small subunit ribosomal RNA, internal transcribed spacer 1, and 5.8S ribosomal RNA". The stretch from base 1 to 73 matches the Rfam family "Eukaryotic small subunit ribosomal RNA", at positions 1759 to 1831 of the family's 1831-position model. The record is from RNAcentral. Lineage: Eukaryota; Fungi.
CCAAACUUGGUCAUUUAGAGGAAGUAAAAGUCGUAACAAGGUUUCCGUAGGUGAACCUGCGGAAGGAUCAUUACCGAGUUAGGGUUGUCUCGACAGCCCGACCUCCCAACCCUGUGUCUACCGUACCUUGUCGUUGCUUCGGCGGACCGGUCUCGAAGAGACCGCCGGGGACCCGUGCCCUGGAGAGCGUCCGCCGAUGGCCCAACCACACACAAAACUCUUGUACCGAAAACCUGUCGUCUGAAUAACUUGAUGUAUCAAAUCAAAACACAAAACUUUCAACAACGGAUCUCUUGGUUCUGGCAUCGAUGAAGAACGCAGC